RNAcentral lists this ribosomal RNA (413 nucleotides) under Babesia bovis. RNAcentral describes it as "SSU rRNA". It matches the Rfam family "Eukaryotic small subunit ribosomal RNA", at positions 486 to 984 of the family's 1831-position model. Lineage: Eukaryota; Apicomplexa; Aconoidasida; Piroplasmida; Babesiidae. The record is from RNAcentral.
CGGGGCUACUGCUCUGUAAUUGGCAUGGGGGCGACCUUCACCCUCGCCCGAGUACCCAUUGGAGGGCAAGUCUGGUGCCAGCAGCCGCGGUAAUUCCAGCUCCAAUAGCGUAUAUUAAACUUGUUGCAGUUAAAAAGCUCGUAGUUGAAUCUCACGUCCGCCCUAGUGUCCUUCACUUGGCGGACGCCUCGUUACUUUGAGAAAAUUAGAGUGUUUCAAGCAGGUUUCGCCUGUAUAAUUGAGCAUGGAAUAACCUUGUAUGACCCUGUCGUACCGUUGGUUGACUUUGGGUAAUGGUUAAUAGGAACGGUUGGGGGCAUUCGUACUCGACUGUCAGAGGUGAAAUUCUUAGAUUUGUCGAUGACGCACGACUGCGAAAGCAUUUGCCAAGGACGCUUCCAUUAAUCAAGAAC